CUCCACGGCCAAUGGGAGCUGCGGGGGCAGUGCCUGCAGGCAGCGCGCAGAGCUGCCUGGCUGCCCCUGAGCCUAGGAGCCAGACGUGCUGGCUCCUUUCAGGAGCCUCUCAAGGUAAUUUCUAAUCCCGUGAACGAUCGACCAGCCAUGCUUUGAGGCAAAGAACUCCAAUCUUGGGAUGAAGGAUCUUCCCACGUUCCUGGGAGAGAAGAUGAGGAGCUACCUGGAGAGUGAUUGUACGACUAUGGAUGUUAGAGGAGUCGAGGGGAACGCAUACAGUAGACCUGAUGACCACUGAAGGUGGAAGGCAUCCCCCAAGGAUCAGUGGCUCAGCCUGCCUCUGGAGCAGAUCUGGGCACAUUUCUUGUUUCCCGUCGUGGAGAACAGGUGUAUUUGAGGGGUGCCCCAUUGCCAGAAUAUGUGAUGAAGUAUGAUGGGAUUUAUCUCCCACUCAAGGUCUUGAGAGAAGUGCCUGCUGAAUGUGUCUGCUGUCACAUUCUGAACUACUGGGAAAGGGUCCUCGUGGAUUUUUGAAUGUUCAAUUGCAGGCCCAAUUUGAGAUAGAGGUCUAUGGCUUUGCAAGUUGCC
This is a long non-coding RNA of Chelonia mydas (Green sea turtle), 588 nucleotides long. RefSeq lists it as uncharacterized. The record is from RefSeq and is a predicted model, not a curated record. NCBI's taxonomy places the organism in Eukaryota, Metazoa, Chordata, Testudines, Cheloniidae. The transcript has 4 exons.